Long non-coding RNA from Coregonus clupeaformis (lake whitefish), 770 nucleotides. RefSeq lists it as uncharacterized. The transcript is spliced from 2 exons. The record is from RefSeq and is a predicted model, not a curated record. NCBI's taxonomy places the organism in Eukaryota, Metazoa, Chordata, Actinopteri, Salmoniformes, Salmonidae.
GGUGGAGGCAGAUAUUUAGUGUUAAAUUACGCUACGGUUAUGAACUGCCACAAUCUGCCCCUGGGCUGCCACAAUCGUCAUAUGAAGAUCAAGGAGAGACACACUCAUUUGACGAUUCAGGACCGCCACAGUCAUGACAAUCCAGGACCGCCACAUCCACAAUCCAAGACCACCUCGGUCAUAUGACGAUCCAGGACCGCCACAUUCAUAUGAUGAUCCAGGACCGCCAGUCAUCUGAUGAUCCAGGACUGCCACAGUCGACCAUCCACAUUAGGAGAAAAUCCGAUUCAGGGAAGACUUGCCUCAAUGCAUUUGAAAGUCUGGCCAGACCGCACUCAACAGAACAAAUAGUAUCCCCCAGUUUUGGCCUUUGGACAUGCAGAAUUGCAGUUAAUUUUUUUAUGAAGCCAUCCAUGCCUACCUCAAAAAUGUAAUCUGACAUGUAAAACUCAAAAAGCAUAAAUGUUUGAGGUCAGUUACAACAAUUGUUGAUAAUCCAGGACUUCCACAGUCAUGUGACAAUCCAGAACCACCACACUUAUAUGACGAUCCAGGACAACCGUAGUGAUAUGACGAUCCAGGACGACCAGUCAUAUGAAGAUCCAGGACAUACACAGUGAUAUGACAUUCCAGGCUAAUAAGAAGCAUGGGAUGGCACUUUAGUGCUAGCUAAUUCAUUACUCUUAGCAGGCUAGCUCGAUACUAAGUGGGGGUCUAUAACAAGGCUGUGGUCUAUAAGAAGGCUAAACAAAUAAAUAUUUUCAGUAACA